RNAcentral lists this ribosomal RNA (440 nucleotides) under uncultured bacterium. RNAcentral's name for it is "partial 16S ribosomal RNA". It matches the Rfam family "Bacterial small subunit ribosomal RNA", at positions 338 to 795 of the family's 1533-position model. The record is from RNAcentral.
CCUACGGGAGGCAGCAGUGGGGAAUAUUGCACAAUGGGGGAAACCCUGAUGCAGCGACGCCGCGUGAGUGAAGAAGUGUUUCGGUGUGGAAAGCUCUAUCAGCAGGGAAGAAAAUGACGGUACCUGAGUAAGAAGCCCCGGCUAACUACGUGCCAGCAGCCGCGGUAAUACGUAGGGGGCAAGCGUUAUCCGGAUUUACUGGGUGUAAAGGGAGCGUAGACGGCGUGACAAGUCAGGAGUGAAAUGCCGGGGCUUAACCCCGGAACUGCUUUGGAAACUGUGCGGCUAGAGUGCAGGUGAGGUAAGUGGAAUUCCUGGUGUAGCGGUGAAAUGCGUAGAUAUUAGGAGGAACACCAGUGGCGAAGGCGGCUUACUGGACUGUAACUGACGUUGAGGCUCGAAAGCGUGGGGAGCAAACAGGAUUAGAUACCCGAGUAGUC